GAAGAGAACUUUUAGAACCGUAAGGUAAAAGAGAAGUGGCGGCCUCCCCACCAAUCGUUAAUCUUCCAUGAGAGAAACAUUCGUCCCGGCUCACGAGUGUUCGAAACUUGAGACCAAAGCCUCCACCAACCCCCUGGCAUACGUAUAAGGCAUUGGGAAUUCCCGCCUGCCCCCUCCCCUUUCUCCGAAGUACCCAGCAUUUAUCGUUUGAAGAAGACGAAUACGAUUCAGUCGGGAAAUUCUCGUCGAAGCUCUCGGAAUGCUGGAUAUGUUGAAAGCCUCGAAACCUCGGAAGAGGACAAAUCCCAUCUUAUUUGGAAAUUUUGUGCGUGUGCGACAGAAAGAGAAAGAAGGAAAAUAAAAAGAAAAGAAGCAUCGGGAUAUUGAUUAAGAGUGUUAUUCUUUUAACGUGACGUUACGUUAUAAUAUAAGGAAUAUAAAAAAAUCGCGGGAAAUCUGCAGUCGGCAAAUUACAUUUCAUUUUCCUAAAGGAACAAUACGUAUUGUUGAUGGAUGCUGAUAAUAGCUCCAUCACGUUCGAAGAUUCACGGUGUUUUCACAGCUCGGCAGAUUUCGUCGCCAUGUGAAAACGACAGAUUUUCCUUCGUCAUUGAUCACAGCCAGCCAAAUCGGAAGACAAACGAGGCAAACACGGUCGACAGAUCCGGCUGUCGCAGCCACCCUGUUUUGAGCAAAAGAGAGAACGAGAACACAGAUUUGGUUCGCCCGCUGGCAAUUACAGGCCAUGGAUUUGCAUGAAAAAAAAAAA
This is a long non-coding RNA of Monomorium pharaonis (pharaoh ant), 769 nucleotides long. RefSeq lists it as uncharacterized. Lineage: Eukaryota; Metazoa; Arthropoda; Insecta; Hymenoptera; Formicidae. The record is from RefSeq and is a predicted model, not a curated record. The transcript has 2 exons.